AGUUGAGACAGUUGAGGGGGCUGUAUGCUGCAGCGUGCGGGAGGGGAUGUGUCAGUGCCUUCUGUCAGUAUUGGUGCUGAAGACUGAAAAUUGUUGAAUCACAGCCUCAGGGUGGAGCAGAUUUGUCCCUUAGGACCUUUGUCCGAGUUAUCUUAGCAAGUUUGUUCCAUACAGUCCACACAUUCCGGUCUACUUCUUCCCACACCAGUGGAUUGAUGUUACCAAGACGCUCCAGUGCCGAACCUCCCUCGUGCUGAUCGUAUAUUGUAGCCCCAAGACUGAAGGACUUGAGAGACUCAGGUUUGCCCCUUCUGCCCUCAACUUACCUCGUGGUAGUUGAAGUCAGUUAUAUGAAAGAGGUAACGUUUUUCCUUUAUAACGUAUCAUGAAUAAAGAUUACACAGCAGGAACGGAGGCAUGGAAGGAGUAGCAGACACCGAGUUAGUGUGCAGAUGAGUAGGGAACAGAAGGAAACAAGACGAGCCAGGAGGAGCCUGGCUGGAGUUUUCCACCAACAGAAACUUGGAAAUGGGGUGAGAAGAGAGAGGAAACCGUGGAAGCAGUUUGUUCAGAAAGGACAAGAGGACAGUGUUAACGACUAUAAGAGAAGACAGCCUGGCAAGGAAGCUUAUAGCUGGAGGAGAAGUUGGUCAAAACAAGCAAGUCAUUUUAGCACUGGAGCCAGAAAACAUGAGCAUUUUUAUAGAGGUUCUACAGAAGAAAAGAGCAAGAGCCUGAAUUAACAAUAAAAAACCAAAACAACAAAACCUGUGGAAUUUGGGGAAAGAGGCAGAGACUUCCAGGAUUGAUGUACAGAUGUCAUGGAUUGUGCCAGCUGUCUAAUUUAGUCUUGAGACUUGAAGUCGCUUUCUCAGCGUGAGAGUUGUUGAAUUUCUUUUCACACUCUUCAUUGCCUAUCCAAGCAGGAAGUGUCAUCUCACAAAAGCUGGCAGAGGUCACUGUUUUAAUAACUAUUGUUAAUUGAUGCUUCUGAAAAGUCUUCUAUCAACUUGAAUUUGCUACCUGCAGAGACUUGCUCAGCAGGUAGCUGAAUCAAAUUAUAACUUUAAUUCAUUGAUUAGUAAAUCAGACUAGAACUGUGACUACCUUGUAUGUUUUAAAAUACAAUAUUUCUCUAAUCAGGUUCCCUGAAAACUAUUUAGUCUCUUUAUAAAAUCUAUAAUUUAGAAAAUCCCAGUGCUGCUAAAAGCUUUAAGCUAUAUAUUGAGUCUAGUUCUGCAAAAAAUAGCUGUUCAUAGGUCUUAGUAUGAGUGCAGGCAAGCUCUUUGCACCGAUGCCUUCAUUAGCAAACACUACAUAUGCUAGCAAGAGUCUGCAGGGCCAGCCCAUGCUUCUGAAAUAUCAGACAUGUGAAAAGAAAUUAGCUGUGUUGAAAAUAGUAACUGAAAGCCAAAUAAAAAAAAUCUGGGAGCCAGUAAAUACUGUGCUAGUAAGUGAGAGAAUGUGUGGAGAGUUUCCCCUAUUGCUGUCCAGAAUAUCAUGAAUCCAGAUUCAACAGAGUCAUAGAGUUUCUCUUCAUCUCAUAUGUGGCGUUUUCUACUGAGUGUAUAGGAAAGUUUAUGCUCUUUUAUAUUACAAAUGUGAAUUUUUUUCCCUCUCUUUUUCUCUGUCUCCCCAAUAUCAUUUAGCAAAAUUUUCUUUCUUCCGAAAGACCUCCUCAGAAAAUUAUUAUUAAUACCUAUAUUUCUAAUCUUUAAAUUGUUGUAUUGAGUGGAAAAAAUGAACAGCAUGCAAGUUAAACACUGUGUGGGAUAAAUGCUAUUUAAAUCUUGUCUAAGCUGUUAAACAUCACACUAACAUUGGAUUGCUGGAUCUAAUCCAGUAAAAAUUUAAAAAAAAAAAAAAAAAAAA
Aquila chrysaetos chrysaetos is the source of this 1872-nucleotide long non-coding RNA. RefSeq lists it as uncharacterized. Lineage: Eukaryota; Metazoa; Chordata; Aves; Accipitriformes; Accipitridae. The record is from RefSeq and is a predicted model, not a curated record. The transcript has 2 exons.